Molecule: ribosomal RNA, 1137 nt
Filed under: uncultured bacterium
Lineage: Bacteria
Description: bacterial SSU rRNA
Rfam family: Bacterial small subunit ribosomal RNA
Source: RNAcentral
AGUGGGGAAUAUUGGACAAUGGGCGAAAGCCUGAUCCAGCCAUGCCGCGUGUGUGAAGAAGGUCUUCGGAUUGUAAAGCACUUUAAGUUGGGAGGAAGGGCAUUAAUCUAAUACGUUAGUGUUUUGACGUUACCGACAGAAUAAGCACCGGCUAACUUCGUGCCAGCAGCCGCGGUAAUACGAAGGGUGCAAGCGUUAAUCGGAAUUACUGGGCGUAAAGCGCGCGUAGGUGGUUUGUUAAGUUGAAUGUGAAAGCCCCGGGCUCAACCUGGGAACUGCAUCCAAAACUGGCAAGCUAGAGUAUGGCAGAGGGUGGUGGAAUUUCCUGUGUAGCGGUGAAAUGCGUAGAUAUAGGAAGGAACACCAGUGGCGAAGGCGACCACCUGGGCUAAUACUGACACUGAGGUGCGAAAGCGUGGGGGGCAAACAGGAUUAGAUACCCUGGUAGUCCACGCCGUAAACGAUGUCGACUAGCCGUUGGGAUCCUUGAGAUCUUAGUGGCGCAGCUAACGCAUUAAGUCGACCGCCUGGGGAGUACGGCCGCAAGGUUAAAACUCAAAUGAAUUGACGGGGGCCCGCACAAGCGGUGGAGCAUGUGGUUUAAUUCGAAGCAACGCGAAGAACCUUACCAGGCCUUGACAUGCAGAGAACUUUCCAGAGAUGGAUUGGUGCCUUCGGGAGCUCUGACACAGGUGCUGCAUGGCUGUCGUCAGCUCGUGUCGUGAGAUGUUGGGUUAAGUCCCGUAACGAGCGCAACCCUUGUCCUUAGUUACCAGCACAUAAUGGUGGGCACUCUAAGGAGACUGCCGGUGACAAACCGGAGGAAGGUGGGGAUGACGUCAAGUCAUCAUGGCCCUUACGGCCUGGGCUACACACGUGCUACAAUGGUCGGUACAAAGGGUUGCCAAGCCGCGAGGUGGAGCUAAUCCCAUAAAACCGAUCGUAGUCCGGAUCGCAGUCUGCAACUCGACUGCGUGAAGUCGGAAUCGCUAGUAAUCGUGAAUCAGAAUGUCACGGUGAAUACGUUCCCGGGCCUUGUACACACCGCCCGUCACACCAUGGGAGUGGGUUGCUCCAGAAGUAGCUAGUCUAACCUUCGGGAGGACGGUUACCACGGAGUGAUUCAUGACUGGGGUG